Molecule: long non-coding RNA, 538 nt
Filed under: Elaeis guineensis (African oil palm)
Lineage: Eukaryota; Viridiplantae; Streptophyta; Magnoliopsida; Arecales; Arecaceae
Description: long non-coding RNA (EGUI_LNC030149)
Source: RNAcentral
AAGUUUCGUCCGAUCGAAGCUCUCAGCCGUCUUCAACUUUGCCCCGAUAACUCGAUCGUGCCUCCAGCUCCACCCUUGAUGGCUUGACCAUGCCCUUGGCUGUCGCCAACUCUGCUCAAUCAGAGCUCUCAGCUACCUCUAGCUCCACCCUUGAUGGCUUGACUGUGCCCUUGGCCGCCUUUAGCCCUCCGUGGCUUUGCCUCACUAGGAUCUUUCUGUUGCCUUUAGCUCCUUCAUCUUCGGCAAGCCUUGGUGAUCAUGGCUUCGACAUCGUCUCCGACUCUCCAAAACAACGGUGGUAGCACGAAGAAGAAGGAAAGGGAGGGAACAAGAAAAUCCUAGUCCAAUCAGAAAUUGAUAAAAUACAAAGGGUAGAAUGGUGUAUUAAUUGUUAUCCAUCGUGGGAUUUAAUAUGGUUAUAUAAAAAAGGUAUGGAAGGAGCCUACUAGCUCAUUAUUUAAUUUAUUUGAAUGAUCUAUAUACUAAUUAAUUUAAUCCAAUUCAAAUAUAUAUAAAUUAAAUAAAUUAAAUAGAUUAG